AUCACUUGAGUAUCUUGUUACAAUGCAAUUUCUAAUCCAGUAGGUUUCUGGGGUGAGGUCUGAGAUUUUGCAUUUUUAACAAGUUCCCAGGUGAAGCUGA
Molecule: microRNA precursor, 100 nt
Filed under: Loxodonta africana (African savanna elephant)
Lineage: Eukaryota; Metazoa; Chordata; Mammalia; Proboscidea; Elephantidae
Description: mir-544 microRNA precursor family
Rfam family: mir-544 microRNA precursor family
Source: Rfam by way of RNAcentral